UACUGCUAAGCCCUGUGAUAACCC
Molecule: non-coding RNA, 24 nt
Filed under: Mus musculus (house mouse)
Lineage: Eukaryota; Metazoa; Chordata; Mammalia; Rodentia; Muridae
Source: RNAcentral